CCUACGGGGGGCUGCAGUGAGGAAUAUUGCGCAAUGGACGAAAGUCUGACGCAGCAACGCCGCGUGCAGGAUGACGGCCCUCUGGGUUGUAAACUGCUGUAGCAGGGGAAUAAUACUCGCCUCGGGCGAGUUGAAGGUACCCUGAAAGUAAGCUCCGGCUAACUACGUGCCAGCAGCCGCGGUAAUACGUAGGGAGCAAGCGUUGUCCGGAUUUACUGGGUGUAAAGGGUGCGCAGGCGGGUUUGUAAGUCAGGGGUGAAAUCUCACGGCUUAAC
This 275-nucleotide ribosomal RNA is filed under the name uncultured bacterium. RNAcentral describes it as "partial 16S ribosomal RNA". It matches the Rfam family "Bacterial small subunit ribosomal RNA", at positions 338 to 613 of the family's 1533-position model. The record is from RNAcentral.